GACGAACGCUGGCGGCGUGCUUAACACAUGCAAGUCGAACGGAAAGGCCCUGCUUUUGUGGGGUGCUCGAGUGGCGAACGGGUGGGUAACACGUGAGUAACCUGCCCUUGACUUUGGGAUAACUUCAGGAAACUGGGGCUAAUACCGGAUAGGAGCUCCUGCUACAUGGUGGGGGUUGGAAAGUUUCGGCGGUUGGGGAUGGACUCGCGGCUUAUCAGCUUGUUGGUGGGGUAGUGGCUUACCAAGGCUUUGACGGGUAGCCGGCCUGAGAGGGUGACCGGCCACAUUGGGACUGAGAUACGGCCCAGACUCCUACGGGAGGCAGCAGUGGGGAAUAUUGCACAAUGGGCGGAAGCCUGAUGCAGCAACGCCGCGUGCGGGAUGACGGCCUUCGGGUUGUAAACCGCUUUCGCCUGUGACGAAGCGUGAGUGACGGUAAUGGGUAAAGAAGCACCGGCUAACUACGUG
This 468-nucleotide ribosomal RNA is filed under the name uncultured bacterium. RNAcentral's name for it is "partial 16S ribosomal RNA". It matches the Rfam family "Bacterial small subunit ribosomal RNA", at positions 28 to 507 of the family's 1533-position model. The record is from RNAcentral.